RNAcentral lists this ribosomal RNA (465 nucleotides) under uncultured bacterium. Its description in RNAcentral is "bacterial SSU rRNA". It matches the Rfam family "Bacterial small subunit ribosomal RNA", at positions 338 to 795 of the family's 1533-position model. The record is from RNAcentral.
CCUACGGGCUGCACCAGUGGGGAAUAUUGCACAAUGGGCGCAAGCCUGAUGCAGCCAUGCCGCGUGUAUGAAGAAGGCCUUCGGGUUGUAAAGUACUUUCAGCGGGGAGGAAGGUGUUGUGGUUAAUAACCGCAGCAAUUAACGUUACCCGCAGAAGAAGCACCGGCUAACUCCGUGCCAGCAGCCGCGGUAAUACGGAGGGUGCAAACGUUAAUCGGAAUUACUGGGCGUAAAGCGCACGCAGGCGGUCUGUCAAGUCGGAUGUGAAAUCCCCGGGCUCAACCUGGGAACUGCAUUCGAAACUGGCAGGCUAGAGUCUUGUAGAGGGGGGUAGAAUUCCAGGUGUAGCGGCGAAAUGCGUAGAGAUCUGGAGGAAUAACGGUGGCGAAGGCGGCCCCCUGGACAAAGACUGACGCUCAGGUGCGAAAGCGUGGGGAGCAAACAGGAUUAGAUACCCGUGUAGUC